UCCGGUAACUGGAAGUCAAAGCUACACAAAUUCUUUUAAAUAUGACACAAUUUCCUAGCAGUGAUGGAGGUUAAUUAUAGGAAUAGUUUACAGGAGAUGUUAAAGGUUUGCCAUUAUUUGGAGCUCCUAAGCUGAAACAAUAACAAUUUUGAAGAUAGGCUUAAACCUGGAACCUUGGGCAACUUGCUGGUGCAAGUUUGCCCUUGUGGUUUGGGGGAAAUCAGGGGGAUUAUCAGUGAGUCGCCUUCUGGGAUGCUGUACUGCUCAGUCUGCUUGGCUGCAGAAAUAGCAGGAGUUUUUAAACUUGCUUAAAGGGCUGUAGUUCUAAAUUAAGAUAGGUUUAAGUGAUCUUGUGCUUGUGGAUGAACAUCUGCUUCAAGGGAGAAUUCUGCUGUUCUGACAGGGGAAAGUUAGAUUAAAGUAGCGUGUUUCCUCCUCCACUGUUCUUUAAAUCGUCAGAGCUUGGCCACAGGGAGCAGACGCUGAGCUGUGCAAACAUGUGUCUCGUACCCAUUUGGACAAUCCCCUCCCUCAUUUACUGUGUCUUCCCAAGGUGUUUGCGGUGCAAUCCAGAUGUGAGGUCAGGAAGGGAUUUCCAGCAUCAUACCAGGUUUUCACCUUCAGCAAGAGCACAGUUCUCAUGCUGCGACUUUCUGCUGGCGGAGUUUUUAUCUCACCAUAAUCUUGUAAAGGGAUUUGGGGAUCUCUUUGUCUCAAUGUAUUGUUUCAGUAGGACAAGAGUGCUUUUUGGGUAGUAGGUUUUAUAAAAGGGUAUUGGAUGAUGGCGUCAACUAAAGGAUCUGUUGACUCACUCUAAAUUGUGACUUUUUAAUUAAAAUCAAUCAUUCAAUCUGUCUGUGCUUCUAUGAAUGGUGAAACUGCCUCUCGUGUAGCACUGUCCAUUUUGGUGUUCCAAAGGCUUCUGGUUCCCUAUGGAAACAGGCACCUGCCCGUGGCUGCGUCAGCUUUUUGGCACGAGUGUCCCUAACAGCCGUGACUUCUGGGUCUGUGCAUUUUCUCACUGUAUGCAACAGAACAACAGAGGAGGAAUAAUAGCCUUUUAGCAUGUGGAGUGGAACUAGCGAAGUGCAUAUUCUGGAAUGUAAAUGAUCCAUCAGAAAAAGUGCUGUUUGGUCUUUUAAGGCAAUAAUACUAUUGUUAGCAGAAAUCAUAACACCCAGCCGCACAAAGUUCUGUUGGUGCCUCCAGUUCAGCAGUUGUGGUGGGUGAACUUUUCUCAGCUCUCCUUGUUGGGACAGUUGAACACGGUUGGUAAAACAGCAAGAGGAAGAGGUCUAUGCACUUACACUCUUUGACAACAAAAGCAGUUGCUCAUGUGAGUAAAUAAUUCUACUCAAACUCACCUUAAAUCUCCUGCUGGUGUGUGAAGUGAUGGAGCCUGAGAGGAGAAAGGGAUGAGGGGCACAGGCCACUCUGAGCUCAGAAACAGUUUGGCAGAGGCGUUCUGUUGGAAUUAAGAAUGUUCUCCUGAACCAAGUUUUAAUAAUUUGAUUCAAAAAGCUAAUUACUAAGCUUGUGUAGUAUGCCGGUGCCUUUAAAAGAAAAGCUCUCUGAGGACGCUUGGUGCUAGGGCAGCCUCCUCAAGUAGCUCCCCUUUGUAAUGAGGUGCAAUGGAGGAAGGGGUGGCCGAACAGGAGCUGAGUGCUGCGCGAGAGGAACAGAACUACAGUAGCGGAAAUAGGAGAUACACUAAGUGCUGAACAUCUUGCUGAUUUACAUUUUGAUCUUUUAAUUGAAUUAUGUGUAAUAAACUAAUGCAGUCUAGGAAGACCUAUGGUAGAUGUCCAUGAGAAAAGUCUGGAAAGUUCUUGAGGGAAAAA
Long non-coding RNA from Columba livia (rock pigeon), 1841 nucleotides. RefSeq lists it as uncharacterized. The record is from RefSeq and is a predicted model, not a curated record. Lineage: Eukaryota; Metazoa; Chordata; Aves; Columbiformes; Columbidae. The transcript has 2 exons.